GACGGAGGUGGCAAACGUUGCUCGGAAUCACUGGGCUUAAAGGGCGUGUAGGCGGCUGCUCAAGUCGGGUGUGAAAUCCCUCGGCCUAACCGAGGACAUGCUCCCGAUACUGGGCGGCUAGAGUGUGGGAGGGGUAAGUGGAACUCCAGGUGUAGCGGUGAAAUGCGUAGAUAUCUGGAGGAACGCCGGUGGCGAAAGCGACUUACUGGCCCGCAACUGACGCUGAGGCGCGAAAGCUAGGGGAGCAAACGGG
This 253-nucleotide ribosomal RNA is filed under the name uncultured bacterium. Its description in RNAcentral is "partial 16S ribosomal RNA". It matches the Rfam family "Bacterial small subunit ribosomal RNA", at positions 524 to 776 of the family's 1533-position model. The record is from RNAcentral.